UAGUAGGUCUAAGCAACAUGCACCUGGAUAAUCGGGUCAUGAAUCUGGACGGGCUCCUACGUCCUCAUAUACACAUUAUGACAUAAUACAGAGUUCAAUGUUUAACGAAAUAAAGACAUAGAAGCAUAAUCAAUUAAACAGGUUCUACACAUUCCAUUUCUCCAUGGCAAUAGAAUGUAAACAUUCUAUUUUGCGCCAAACAUCGCCUACAACUCAAUUCUAAGUGCAGCAUAUUGGAGGACUCUGUGUUUUAUUUGAAGGGUGUGGAAGGAAACACUGGAGGAGGGAAACGACCUCGCUCGGCUGGUAAGAGAAUGAGAGUUAGAGACAUGCUACAAGUUAGUGAGCUCUUUACCAGCCUUUCAACAACGAGUUAGCACAGCAGGAUAGAUCUGUUGUGAAAUUACACUAAUGGGACUUCCUGUUUCAUACUGCAGGCCUGGGAAGUAAACACUUGCCUAAAAAUGAUGAACAUAGAGCACAAGGCUUUCUGCAAGCUCCGCCGCUCCAUGCACCCCACCUCGCCAGCUGACAUGUGAGUUCCAUGUACUGCCCCGCAUAUGACUUGAUCCAUUUAUCUACACAUCUGGAACUACGCAGAAACAGACUAAGAAAGUGUUCUAAGUGAGUACAUUGCACAUCGUUUAGCUUUGUUUUCUCCUUAUUGUUGAUUUCAGCGAUCCUAAGGUCCACAGCACCGUGGAAAGAGCUGUGAGGAGCAUUCUGGGCGAGCAGUCCAAUGAGCCCCGUAGCAACCUGCUCAGCCCAUCUCAGGUGGUGGUGGAGGUGGUGCCCAGGCUCCUCCUGGCCCUGUGGCUUCAGCCAGAGGAAGGCCAUUCAGAGCACCCAAGAGAGAGAGACUUAGAGAGCACUCUGACAGAGGAUGUUGCUGUGGUCAUCCCGGAUGUCACCCCACACGUCACCAAGGACGUGGCACUGGAAGUUCCAUGCAGAGCUAGGAAAGGGGCAGUCCGGCUAUUAUUUUGCAGGCUUUGGAGGGCAGUGUGCUGCUGCCCCUGCCACAAGGAAGAGGAGAAACAAUAUUAAUUAUUCAUCAGACCUUCAGAAAUGGGAUUGAACCAUAGACCAUUCAAUUAUUCGCAUUAUAAUUGGACUCAAUUCUGCUUUUCUUCUGUUUACUACUUAAUUUCAGAACAUUUCUAUAAACUUUCACUUUGCAAGUGUGGAGUAGGUUAUGUAAAUAAGUGAGAAACAUCACAAUUUUAA
RNAcentral lists this long non-coding RNA (1227 nucleotides) under Oncorhynchus mykiss (rainbow trout). Its description in RNAcentral is "lncRNA (ENSOMYG00000051065.1)". The record is from RNAcentral. Lineage: Eukaryota; Metazoa; Chordata; Actinopteri; Salmoniformes; Salmonidae.